GACGAACGCUGGCGGCGUGCCUAAUACAUGCAAGUAGAACGCACAGUUUAUACCGUAGCUUGCUACACCAUACACUGUGAGUUGCGAACGGGUGAGUAACGCGUAGGUAACCUGCCUGGUAGCGGGGGAUAACUAUUGGAAACGAUAGCUAAUACCGCAUAAUAUUGAAUAUUGCACGAUAAUUGAUUGAAAGAUGCUAUUGCAUCACUACCAGAUGGACCUGCGUUGUAUUAGCUAGUAGGUGAGGUAACGGCUCACCUAGGCGACGAUACAUAGCCGACCUGAGAGGGUGAUCGGCCACACUGGGACUGAGACACGGCCCAGACUCCUACGGGAGGCAGCAGUAGGGAAUCUUCGGCAAUGGACGAAAGUCUGACCGAGCAACGCCGCGUGAGUGAAGAAGGGUUUCGGAUCGUAAAGCUCUGUUGUAAGAGAAGAACGGGUGUGAGAGUGGAAAGUUCACACUGUGACGGUAUCUUACCAGAAAGGGACGGCUAACUACGUG
RNAcentral lists this ribosomal RNA (505 nucleotides) under uncultured bacterium. RNAcentral's name for it is "partial 16S ribosomal RNA". It matches the Rfam family "Bacterial small subunit ribosomal RNA", at positions 28 to 507 of the family's 1533-position model. The record is from RNAcentral.